RNAcentral lists this small RNA (524 nucleotides) under Pongo abelii (Sumatran orangutan). RNAcentral describes it as "retained intron". The record is from RNAcentral. Lineage: Eukaryota; Metazoa; Chordata; Mammalia; Primates; Hominidae.
GAGCGUCCUCCUUUUGUGCGAGCGCCGGCGGCUCGGCUUCUCGAAGGAGAAGAAACUGAGGCCUGGAAUUUGAUUAAUUCUUUCAAGGUUACCCAGUUGGUAAGUAACAGAGCUGGAAUUUGACCAUGGUCAUCUGGCUCCAGAGCCAGCACUCUUAACCACACUUCCUAUGAGGAAAAAUUAAAGUGGAUGGUGAUGGCUACAAGAUGGAUUUCAGUUGCAUAGAAAUAAGAACCUCCUACCUCUGUUGAAAUCAGAAUACAUAUACAUCCCUUCAUUCACUCUAUGAAUAUUCAUUCACUCCAUGAACCUACAAGGUUUUUAGGUCAAAUUAUUAGUUUAAAUAAGAACUACAGGCUGGGCGCAGUGGCUCACACCUGUAAUCCCAACACUUUGGGAGGCUGAGGUGGGUGGAUCACUUGAGGUCAGGGGUUCAAGACCAGCCUGGCCAACAUGGUGAAACCCUGUCUCUACUAAAAAUACAAAACUUACUAAAAAUACAAAAUACUCGCUUGAACCCAGGA